UUAAGUAAAGCCAAAAAGAGGCUUAUCACUGUUAAUGAUAGAAAUGGGAUUAACCCUUCUUGAA
This 64-nucleotide transfer RNA is filed under the name Afronurus levis. RNAcentral's name for it is "tRNA-Asn". The record is from RNAcentral. Lineage: Eukaryota; Metazoa; Arthropoda; Insecta; Ephemeroptera; Heptageniidae.